AGCUCCAAUAGCGUAUAUUAAAGUUGUUGCAGUUAAAAAGCUCGUAGUUGGAUUUCUGGUGGGAGUGACCGGUCCGUCCUCGGGAUGUGUACUAGUUGUCGUCUCUUGCCAUCGUUGGGGAAAACGUGCCUGGCAUUAGGUUGUCGGGUUCGGGAUCCCCAUCCUUUACUGUGAAAAAAUUAGAGUGUUUAAAGCAGGCUUAUGCCGUUGAAUACAUUAGCAUGGAAUAAUAAGAUAGGACUUUGGUGGUCUAUUUUGUUGGUUUGCACGCCAAGGUAAUGAUUAAUAGGGAUGGUUGGGGGUAUCCGUAUUUCGUAGUCAGAGGUGAAAUUCUUGGAUUUACGAAAGACGAACUACUGCGAAAGCAUUUACCAAGGAUGUUUUCAUUAAUCAAGAACGA
RNAcentral lists this ribosomal RNA (400 nucleotides) under phytoplankton environmental sample. RNAcentral's name for it is "partial small subunit ribosomal RNA". It matches the Rfam family "Eukaryotic small subunit ribosomal RNA", at positions 587 to 986 of the family's 1831-position model. The record is from RNAcentral.